GAACUAAUGACUCUAUCCAACAUGCUCAGUUAAACAUGUGACUUGUUGAUAUCAGACUGUUGAGUUAACAUUAUAAAAAUUACCAAUGAAAGGGAUGAACAGAUAUUUCCUCAAUUUAGUUAAAUAAUCAUGGCUUAUACAAUCAAGGUGAACCAGAGAGUCAAAGAGUUGUCCUUUGGCAGUUCCUAUUCAACAGAUUUAUCAAAAAGAAACAGCUGAUGGUUAAUCUACAUUUAGUGCCAAGGAUUGAUUUAACUUACCAGCAAAAUUGUGUUUAAAGAAGUUAACCAGAAAAGUACCUUUAUCUGCAUAGAAACGGAACAAUGAUUGAUGACCAAUGGAAGCAGGAUCAAUCAAGGGUAUCCUGAAAAUGCCAAGUGAUUCAAGUGGAAAAUCGGUUGAUUUUGUGUGAUUAAGCUCACAUUGGGAAAACUGUUGUUCGGUUAUUUGUUUUAGGAAAAAAUGGCCUAUCAAAAGACCAUCGACAGUUGAUAUUGGUUCAUCUUCUCCUACAACUCCACCAGGAAAACCAAGGAAUCCAUCAUAGCGAACCUGACCAAGACCAAAAUAACCUGAAUCACCGUGAUCCGAUAUUUUACAAUACAGUAAACAAUGAGCUGCGUGACAAUAUUGCCUUUUAUCUGUUAAUUUAAGCGUUUCUUCCAAGCAUAUUGGCUCGAAUCCCAUCUUGGUGCAUAAUGGAUUAAUUGAUUCCUUUAAACGUUCCUUUUCAAUCGAAUCAAUCAUUUUCUCGAAAAAUUGAUUUCUAAAUGUCCAAUAUUUCACUAUAAUUUUAGGAAAAAAACUCAACUUAUUUUUGUGCAAAUUUUAACUCUUUAAACUAACAAUAAAGAUAUAUUGUUGUUAAAAUUUGCAUUAAAGAAGUAUUGAUUCGAAACAAUAAUCUUAUUGCAUUGUUAUAAUUUAAUUGUUACCGCAAUAGUAAAGCAAAUAGUUGUUAAUAGGUUUUUAAAAUCAAUUAUUGCCAUUUUAACAUUGAAUCACUGAAAAGACUGUAAUCAAAUGAGAGAUUAAUCUAUACAUCAGUGCCUGAUAUUUUGCAGACUCUGAAGUACUCAAUUUUCUAUCUGCAAUUCCAAAUGAUGAACAUAAUAAAAUUAUCCGUUGAAA
Non-coding RNA from Tetranychus urticae (two-spotted spider mite), 1131 nucleotides. NCBI's taxonomy places the organism in Eukaryota, Metazoa, Arthropoda, Arachnida, Trombidiformes, Tetranychidae. The record is from RefSeq and is a predicted model, not a curated record.